GACGAACGCUGGCGGCGUGCUUAACACAUGCAAGUCGAACGGAAAGGCCCUGCUUUUGUGGUGUGCUCGAGUGGCGAACGGGUGAGUAACACGUGAGUAACCUGCCCUUGACUUUGGGAUAACUUCAGGAAACUGGGGCUAAUACCGGAUAGGAGCUCCUGCUGCAUGGUGGGGGUUGGAAAGUUUCGGAGGUGGGGGAUGGACUCGCGGCUUAUCAGCUUGUUGGGGGGGUAGUGGCUCACCAAGGCUUUGACGGGUAGCCGGCCUGAGAGGGUGACCGGCACAAUGGGGACUGGGAUCCGGCCCAGCCUCCUCCGGGGGGCAGCAGUGGGGAAUAUUGCACAUGGGGCGGAAGCCUGAUGAAGCACCGCCGCGUGCGGGAUGACGGCCUUCGGGUUGUAACCCGCUUUCGCCUGUGACGAAGCGUGAGUGACGGUAAUGGGUAAAGAAGCACCGGCUAACUACGUG
RNAcentral lists this ribosomal RNA (468 nucleotides) under uncultured bacterium. Its description in RNAcentral is "partial 16S ribosomal RNA". It matches the Rfam family "Bacterial small subunit ribosomal RNA", at positions 28 to 507 of the family's 1533-position model. The record is from RNAcentral.